RNAcentral lists this long non-coding RNA (221 nucleotides) under Brassica napus (rape). RNAcentral describes it as "long non-coding RNA (BNAP_LNC021125)". Lineage: Eukaryota; Viridiplantae; Streptophyta; Magnoliopsida; Brassicales; Brassicaceae. The record is from RNAcentral.
AACCAGUGAUAUUCCGUGUUUUUAACGGUUUUAAACUCGUUUUGGAGCAAUUAAAUGGUCGGUUUUAAUUAAUGUUUUGGUCUAUUUGAUGCGUUUUGGUGUUCUUAAGUGUAAUAUGCAGGUUACUAGAUAGCUUGAAAGAAAAGAACGCAUUCGGGAUUUAUUCAGAAGCAAGAUGGACCGAACAAUGGACCGAAUGAAGUAUUGAUCGCACAGAGCAC